UUGAAUUUUAAACUUGGGAUGUUGCUGGCUCUUACUUGGGUAAUGUGCACUCCCUUGAUAUUCAAAUCCACCUGUGCACAAUCGAGUAGGCAUAGAUUGAGUUCUGUGCCUAUGUUUUACACACACGCACACUAUGUUUGUAACAGAUGGAUAUUUAUAAUCAUAUUA
Molecule: unclassified non-coding RNA, 168 nt
Filed under: uncultured Clavariaceae
Lineage: Eukaryota; Fungi; Basidiomycota; Agaricomycetes; Agaricales; Clavariaceae
Description: sequence contains ITS1
Source: RNAcentral